UGGGGAAUAUUGGACAAUGGGCGAAAGCCUGAUCCAGCCAUGCCGCGUGUGUGAAGAAGGUCUUCGGAUUGUAAAGCACUUUAAGUUGGGAGGAAGGGCAUUAACCUAAUACGUUAGUGUUUUGACGUUACCGACAGAAGAAGCACCGGCUAACUCUGUGCCAGCAGCCGCGGUAAUACAGAGCGUGCAAGCGUUAAUCGGAAUUACUGGGCGUAAAGCGCGCGUAGGUGGUUUGUUAAGUUGGAUGUGAAAUCCCCGGGCUCAACCUGGGAACUGCAUUCAAAACUGACUGACUAGAGUAUGGUAGAGGGUGGUGGAAUUUCCUGUGUAGCGGUGAAAUGCGUAGAUAUAGGAAGGAACACCAGUGGCGAAGGCGACCACCUGGACUAAUACUGACACUGAGGUGCGAAAGCGUGGGGAGCAAACA
This 427-nucleotide ribosomal RNA is filed under the name uncultured bacterium. RNAcentral describes it as "partial 16S ribosomal RNA". It matches the Rfam family "Bacterial small subunit ribosomal RNA", at positions 355 to 774 of the family's 1533-position model. The record is from RNAcentral.